Molecule: transfer RNA, 72 nt
Filed under: Lysinibacillus agricola
Lineage: Bacteria; Bacillati; Bacillota; Bacilli; Caryophanales; Bacillaceae
Description: Lysinibacillus sp. FJAT-51161 tRNA-Pro
Rfam family: tRNA
About the family: Transfer RNA (tRNA) molecules are approximately 80 nucleotides in length. Their secondary structure includes four short double-helical elements and three loops (D, anti-codon, and T loops).
Source: RNAcentral
UGAGGAAAAAUGCAGUGGCAGCAUGUCCCUUAUAGGAUAGGGAUUUACAGGUUCGAUUCCUGUCAUCCUCAC